This is a long non-coding RNA of Mercenaria mercenaria, 1407 nucleotides long. RefSeq lists it as uncharacterized. The record is from RefSeq and is a predicted model, not a curated record. Lineage: Eukaryota; Metazoa; Mollusca; Bivalvia; Venerida; Veneridae. The transcript is spliced from 3 exons.
CUAUUGGACUUUGGACGAGGAUUAUCGGGCUUUGGAGUACGAUUGUUGGGCGUUGGUGUACGAUUAUCGGACUUAGGAGUACAAUUAUCGGACUUUGUAGUAAGGUUAUUGGACUUUGGAAUUGGCGAUUUGUCAUAUUUAUGAUACUUGUGCGAAAUCAAAUUCUGUUUCAUUUCUGUCUUAAUUAAUAGUGUACGUAUAGUCGCCCACUUACCUCUGAACGUUGUUUGAAUCACUGACGACUUCGUGGUAACUUUCAGAAUAAUUCUUUCGUUUAUAAGUAGCAGUAUGAAGUAUGAUAUAAGUUUCAGGGCCCUACGUUCCGUAUUAAAGAUUUUUGGUAACAGCAGGGCAUACAAAUUAUACAACAUAGUGUAAAUUAAACGUUCACUUCCUUAUGAGAUUUCUCGACCGUGUGGGAGAGGUCUUUGAUUUAAAAUCACUUGCCAUUAAGCGCUCAUUGUUUGAACCUUGAAAAGAUUUUUCAAGUCAGUUGACUACUUAGUAUAUAAACAAAUACAGUAGUUUGUAAAGAGUGCCUGUGGGUGGCUUUUCAGCACCAAUAAAAAACUGUAAAGUUUAUCGCCGCACGACCGCACUUCUCACAGUUUCUAUAUUCACAUUUCUUUUCUAUUUUACCCAGGUGAAACAUGAGGUGCAUCACACUUAUUGUCGUCUGCAUUGUGAUGUCUGUGGGCCUGACGAUCGGUAUGCAGAUCAGCUCUAGGUACCCUCACUAUGACUGGGACGACAUGUACUACAAGAAAGAAGGAAAAGUAGUCCCUGUUCCUGUCAUCUAUAAGAAGGUUGACAGCGUGUUUCCAGUGCUUCUAUCCCUGAUACUGUCACAGUUCUUCCGUCGGUCAACUACUCUAACAGACAACGAAACGCUGAGAGAAAAUGGUAUCACAGUUAUCACGGAAGACCCCUGUUGUUGAGAAUCAAGAGUUCUGAAUAGCUGAUUUCUGCAAGAGGAGUUCCUGUCUGCUUUUCUUUAUAAAAUAUGAUAUACUUUGAUAGCACUUUAAAAAUGUCAUUUCGAUAUUGUUUAGUCUAUUCAACUGCAAGGUUACUGAAGAUGAUAUUGUUUUCAUUUAAUCAAUUGUAACACAUUUCAUAGUACAAAUGUACUUUACAUUAUGUAUUUUACACUAUGUAUUUUACACUAUAAACCAUGUUUCACCUUCUGUAUGCUCCGAUCUGAAACUAAAAAGGGCGCAAAAGAAGCGCAGACUGAUCAGACACAUUGUUUCAGUUUUGUACCUCUUUUUAGGAAUGACUUUCUAAACAUUAAAAAAGCUAACAGAAAAAAAAUAGCGACCUUCCUUGUGACCUUCAUCUUCGGAUAAUACAUGUAAUUAUAGCCGAUGAUUAACCUGUUGUCCCAGCUUUAUUUAUCUGUCAGUU